This 497-nucleotide ribosomal RNA is filed under the name uncultured bacterium. RNAcentral describes it as "partial 16S ribosomal RNA". It matches the Rfam family "Bacterial small subunit ribosomal RNA", at positions 28 to 507 of the family's 1533-position model. The record is from RNAcentral.
GAUGAACGCUGGCGGCGUGCCUAAUACAUGCAAGUCGAGCGAACAGAUAAGGAGCUUGCUCCUUUGACGUUAGCGGCGGACGGGUGAGUAACACGUGGGUAACCUACCUAUAAGACUGGGAUAACUUCGGGAAACCGGAGCUAAUACCGGAUAACAUUUGGAACCGCAUGGUUCUAAAGUGAAAGAUGGUUUUGCUAUCACUUAUAGAUGGAGCCGCGCCGUAUUAGCUAGUUGGUAAGGUAACGGCUUACCAAGGCGACGAUACGUAGCCGAACUGAGAGGGGGAUCGGCGACACUGGAAGUGAGACAGCGUCCAGACGACUACGGGAGGAAGCAGACGGGAAUGUUCAGCAAUAGGGGAGAGCCUGACGGAGUGAGGCCAAGUGAGUGAUGAAGGGUUUCGGCGCGGAAUACUGGGUUAUUGGGGAAGAACAAAUGUGUAAUUAAAUGUGCAAGGAUUGACGGUAACUAGUAAGAAAGCAACGGCUAACUACGUG